RNAcentral lists this ribosomal RNA (253 nucleotides) under uncultured bacterium. Its description in RNAcentral is "partial 16S ribosomal RNA". It matches the Rfam family "Bacterial small subunit ribosomal RNA", at positions 524 to 776 of the family's 1533-position model. The record is from RNAcentral.
UACAGAGGGUGCGAGCGUUAAUCGGAAUUACUGGGCGUAAAGCGCACGUAGGCGGCUUUGUAAGUUAGAGGUGAAAGCCCGGGGCUCAACUCCGGAAUUGCCUUUAAGACUGCAUCGCUAGAAUUGUGGAGAGGUAAGUGGAAUCCCGAGUGUAGAGGUGAAAUUCGUAGAUAUUCGGAAGAACACCAGUGGCGAAGGCGACUUACUGGACACAUAUUGACGCUGAGGUGCGAAAGCGUGGGGAGCAAACAGG